CCGCACUACUAGGUGACUGGACUUCCUGUUUGGUGGUCUUCUAGUCUCACUGAUGUGCCAGAUAAACCUCAGUUUGCAGAAGGGUUGAGCUAGACCAUUGGUUCCCCCCUUUCGAAGACUGAGAACAAGC
Molecule: small nucleolar RNA, 130 nt
Organism: Syngnathus acus (greater pipefish)
Lineage: Eukaryota; Metazoa; Chordata; Actinopteri; Syngnathiformes; Syngnathidae
Source: RefSeq, a predicted model, not a curated record